Long non-coding RNA from Felis catus (domestic cat), 825 nucleotides. RefSeq lists it as uncharacterized. The transcript has 3 exons. NCBI's taxonomy places the organism in Eukaryota, Metazoa, Chordata, Mammalia, Carnivora, Felidae. The record is from RefSeq and is a predicted model, not a curated record.
CCCAUUGACAAACUCGCGCUGUGCCGUAGACGGGGGCCCUCAGAGCAUUCUCUGAAAGCAAGUUUUCGCUGAGAGAACCAUCUGCACCUGGUGAAAAAUGGCCCACUGAAACAGGAGAGCCUUCUCAUCUGGGUCAUGGACAUGAGAUGGAAGAAGGAGGAGAAAAGAUUGAAAAAGUGACUUGACCUGCCAUUUCUUGGAAGUUGGAGAAAGAGGUUCAUGAGACAAAGAACAAGGGUGACCUCUAGAAGCUAGGAACAACACUUAGCUGAUAGCCAACAAGGAAAUGGGACCGCAAUCCUGCAAAUGCAGGGAACUGGAUUCUGCCAACACCCUAAAUGAGCAAGGAAGCAUAAACUCCCCUAAAGCCUCUAGAAAGGGACACAUUCUUAAAAGCAGGGCACUCUGCUUUUAACCUAAUACAAUCCAUGUCAGAUUUCUGAUGUACAGAAUUAUAAGAUAAUAAGGUUUGUUGUUUAAUUCACUAAGUGUUGGUAAUUUGUUAUGAAAUUAAAAGAACCAAUUAAAAAACUUCCUUUAGCAGUUAUUUUAGCACACUUAUUUGACAACAAAUUCUAUUGGUUUUCUUUUGUAAAUAUGUCUUUAUUUUUCUCUUUUUCGAAGAAUAUUUUCACUGACUGGAGAAUUCUUAACUGAAGGAUUGUUUCAGCUCUUUGAAGAUGUUGUUCCAAUUUCUGUUGGCCUUCAUGGUUUUCAUGAGAAGUCAGCUGUUAGAUUGUUUCCCUUUAUGUAAUGUAAUUUUCUUUUGCUGGUUAUAAAAGUUGCCCUUUAUAAAAUAGUAAACUCAUUAAACAUUUGACAACA